UACGUAGGGUGCGAGCGUUAAUCGGAUUUACUGGGCGUAAAGCGUGCGCAGGCGGCCCGUUAAGACAGGUGUGAAAUCCCUGGGCUCAACCUAGGAAUUGCGCUUGUGACUGGCGGGCUCGAGUACGGUAGAGGGGGGUGGAAUUCCUGGUGUAGCAGUGAAAUGCGUAGAGGUCAGGAGGAACACCGAUGGCGAAGGCAGCCCCCUGGGCCUGUACUGACGCUCAUGCACGAAAGCGUGGGGAGCAAACAGG
RNAcentral lists this ribosomal RNA (253 nucleotides) under uncultured microorganism. Its description in RNAcentral is "partial 16S ribosomal RNA". It matches the Rfam family "Bacterial small subunit ribosomal RNA", at positions 524 to 776 of the family's 1533-position model. The record is from RNAcentral.